This 1254-nucleotide ribosomal RNA is filed under the name Paphnutius ruficeps. RNAcentral describes it as "16S ribosomal RNA". The stretch from base 1013 to 1171 matches the Rfam family "Archaeal large subunit ribosomal RNA", at positions 2544 to 2703 of the family's 2987-position model. The record is from RNAcentral. Lineage: Eukaryota; Metazoa; Arthropoda; Insecta; Hemiptera; Cercopidae.
UUAUUAUUAAUUUUUUUAUUUUUUUUUCGUAUUUAAUUAAAGUAUUUUGUUGGUUUAAGUAUUAAAAAUAGAAAUGAUUGUUUAAUUGAUAGUUAAUUUUCACUGUAAAGGAUAAAUAUUUAUUUAUUUUGGAAGUCGAUUUUUAUUGUACCUUUUGUAUCAGGGUGAAUUUAUUAAUUAUAAUUUAUUUUAUUUUCCCGAAGAUGUAUUAUUUAAUUUUUAGUGUUGGUUAGUGUGAUAUAACUAUUAAUAACUUUAUUUUAGUAGUGAAAUAUUAUUCGAUUGUGUUGGUAUCUGGUUUCUUAAGAUUAAGUUUAAUUUUAUAUUGUUUUGUUUUAUCUAAUUUUUAUUUGUUGGAAUUAUUCAGUAUUACGUUUAUGGGGAUAAUCUCUUUAUCAGUUUAAUAAUUUUAUUUAUUUAUAAUUUUUGUAGGCUUAGAAUUAGCAUUCAUAUAAUUAUGUAAUUGUUUAUUUUAUUUAUUUGGGUUUUUAUUAUUAUUUUAAUUUUUAUUAAGAUAUUUAUUUUAACUAUUCUAUUAGUAGUUAAUAUUGGUUUAAUUAGUAUAAUAUAUAAUUGUUUUAUAGGAAUUCGGCAAUUUAUUUUCCACCUGUUUAUCAAAAACAUGGUUUUUAGUAUUUUUGUUGAAGAUUUAGUCUGCCCAAUGAUUUGAUUUUAAUGGCCGCAGUAUAUUAACUGUGCAAAGGUAGCAUAAUAAUUAGUCUUUUAAUUGAAGUCUUGAAUGAAUGAUUGGAUGAGAAAAUAUCUUUCUUUGUUAUCUUAUUUUAAUUUAAUUUUUAAGUGAAAAAGCUUAAAUUUUUCCAUGGGACGAUAAGACCCUAUAGAACUUUAAAUUAUAUGGGAAUAAUAAUUAUAUUUUGUUUAUUUUUAUUAUGGUUCUUUUAUAUUUUUUUGUUGGGGUGACAAGUUAAUUUUCAUAAUUUUAUUUUAUUAUAUCAUUGAUUUAUGUUUUUGUGAUCCAUUAUUAUUGAUUAAAAGAUUAAGUUACCUUAGGGAUAACAGCGUAAUUUUGUUGGAGAGUUCUUAUCGAUAACUAAGUUUGCGACCUCGAUGUUGGAUUAAGAUUAGAAUAAGGGGCAGCUUUUUUAUUUCUAGGUCUGUUCGACCUUUAAAUUCUUACAUGAUCUGAGUUCAAACCGGUGUAAACCAGGUUGGUUUCUAUCUUUGGAUAUAUUAUUUUGUUUCAGUACGAAAGGACCAUUACAAGUAGUUUAUAGUUUGUUUUUGAAUAUUAUU